CAGAGUUUGAUCCUGGCUCAGAUUGAACGCUGGCGGCAGGCCUWACACAUGCAAGUCGAGCGGAUGACGGGAGCUUGCUCCUUGAUUCAGCGGCGGACGGGUGAGUAAUACCUAGGAAUCUGCCUGGUAGUGGGGGACAACGUUUCGAAAGGAACGCUAAUACCGCAUACGUCCUACGGGAGAAAGCAGGGGACCUUCGGGCCUUGCGCUAUCAGAUGAGCCUAGGUCGGAUUAGCUAGUUGGUGAGGUAAUGGCUCACCAAGGCGACGAUCCGUAACUGGUCUGAGAGGAUGAUCAGUCACACUGGAACUGAGACACGGUCCAGACUCCUACGGGAGGCAGCAGUGGGGAAUAUUGGACAAUGGGCGAAAGCCUGAUCCAGCCAUGCCGCGUGUGUGAAGAAGGUCUUCGGAUUGUAAAGCACUUUAAGUUGGGAGGAAGGGCAUUAACCUAAUACGUUAGUGUUUUGACGUUACCGACAGAAUAAGCACCGGCUAACUCUGUGCCAGCAGCCGCGGUAAUACAGAGGGUGCAAGCGUUAAUCGGAAUUACUGGGCGUAAAGCGCGCGUAGGUGGUUUGUUAAGUUGGAUGUGAAAUCCCCGGGCUCAACCUGGGAACUGCAUCCAAAACUGGCAAGCUAGAGUAGGGCAGAGGGUGGUGGAAUUUCCUGUGUAGCGGUGAAAUGCGUAGAUAUAGGAAGGAACACCAGUGGCGAAGGCGACCACCUGGGCUCAUACUGACACUGAGGUGCGAAAGCGUGGGGAGCAAACAGGAUUAGAUACCCUGGUAGUCCACGCCGUAAACGAUGUCAACUAGCCGUUGGAAUCCUUGAGAUUUUAGUGGCGCAGCUAACGCAUUAAGUUGACCGCCUGGGGAGUACGGCCGCAAGGUUAAAACUCAAAUGAAUUUGACGGGGGCCCGCACAAGCGG
This 931-nucleotide ribosomal RNA is filed under the name Pseudomonas sp. HpsW1. RNAcentral's name for it is "bacterial SSU rRNA". It matches the Rfam family "Bacterial small subunit ribosomal RNA", at positions 8 to 932 of the family's 1533-position model. Lineage: Bacteria; Pseudomonadati; Pseudomonadota; Gammaproteobacteria; Pseudomonadales; Pseudomonadaceae. The record is from RNAcentral.